RNAcentral lists this ribosomal RNA (406 nucleotides) under uncultured bacterium. RNAcentral describes it as "partial 16S ribosomal RNA". It matches the Rfam family "Bacterial small subunit ribosomal RNA", at positions 30 to 526 of the family's 1533-position model. The record is from RNAcentral.
AUUGAACGCUGGCGGCAGGCCUAACACAUGCAAGUCGAACGAGUGGCGGACGGGUGAGUAAUGCCUGGGAAACUGCCCGAUGGAGGGGGAUAACUACUGGAAACGGUAGCUAAUACCGCAUACCAUCGGAUGUGCCCAGAUGGGAUUAGCUAGUGGGGGGGGUAACGGCUGACCUAGGCGACGAACCCGAGCUGGUAUGAGAGGAUGACCAGCCACACUGGAACGGAGACACGGUCCAUAUUCCUACGUGAGGCAGCGGUGGGGAAUAUUGCACAAUGGGCGCAAGCUUGAUGCAGCCAUGCCGCGUGUUUGAAGAAGGCCUUCGGGUUGUAAAGUACUUUCAGCGAGGAGGCGUUACUCGCAGAAGAAGCACCGGCUAACUCCGUGCCAGCAGCCGCGGUAAUUC